This 2198-nucleotide small nuclear RNA is filed under the name Canis lupus familiaris (dog). RNAcentral describes it as "lncRNA (ENSCAFG00000053310.1)". The record is from RNAcentral. Lineage: Eukaryota; Metazoa; Chordata; Mammalia; Carnivora; Canidae.
GUAUGUGCUUACCUUAGUUAUUACAUUUCUUAAUCUCCAUGUUAGCUUAUAAAAUGGGAAAUGCCAACCUUCAUAACUUAAAUCAAAUAAGAAAAAAAAUACCAGCAAAACUUUAACAACUCUCCAAAUGUAAACAUUAAAUUUCCUACUCAUAUUUACUGUGCCCAGUCUUUCAAUUUACAUGUAAUAUUAUAUGACUGGAAGUAAAAUGGUCUUUUAAAAAUCCCAAGGAGUAUUACUAUGGAGAUUACGAAGGAGAAAUAUAUGUAUAAACAUACAUACAUACACAUAUAUGUAUAUAUACAUCAUUACCAUGAUGUAUAGAGAAAUACUAUUCUCAAAGGAAGGCAUUUACAUUUUGAUUCUCUUCAGUUCAAUACUUUGUUAAAAGCAACCCACGAAAAAGAGAUCUAUAUGACUACUUCCCCUUCUUCCAAAUUCACUUACUCCAUAAGCCAAGUGUUUUUGUUUUUGUUGUUCUUAUUUUACUAUUUUGGCUUUUAUUUUUUUCAAUAAGAAAUGAAGACAAAAAAAAAAAAAGAAAUGAAGACAGACCAGAUUUGUUUUCCUAAAAAGCAAUUUUAAAGCAAAGAAUGUCCAUUAUAUUUCUGUAGUAAAAAUCGUCAGUCUGUUUACAAAGAGUUACUUCUUGGUUUCUAUUACAUGCAUAUUGGACCACUUAAUGUUACCUCACAUGUCAAAACAGAACUAACUUUGUUUUUUUGUUUCUUUCAAAAUAUAGAACACUGAACAAAUUUAUGUGUCAUCCUGUGCAGGGGCCAUGCUAAUCUCUGCAUUGUUUUAGUUUUAGUAUAUGUGUUGCUGAAGUAAGCACAAAAACAAAACUACUUAAAAAAAAAUAUUUCCCCUAUUAUUCAAAUUGGAUAUUAAUCUGUCUACAGUUUCACUGAUCAUUUUGUCAUCCUCUCUCAUCUUCUAUUAAGCCUAUUUAAUGAAUUUUUCAUUUCAAGCAUUGUAAUAGUCCCUUCUAGAAUUUCAACAUAAUUAUUUUUACAUUAACCAUAUCAAUGCUAGGAUUCUAAAUCUAUUCAAUUAUUUUAAUCUUGGUUUCACUUAUGUUAUUGAUUGUAUUUACAACAGGGAAUAUAAAAUUUUUAUCUGUUAAUUUCAAUAUUGGAAACAUCUGAGUCAUCUCUGGGCUUGUUUUUUUGUUUGUUUUGUGUGGUUAGGUUUUUUUUUUUUUUUUUUUUUUUUUUUAAUCUUGAACAAUGGCUGUCAUUUUCCUGUGUCUUUAUGUGUUAAAAAACUUUAUAUUUAUUUUGCUUAUCAGUGAAUAUACAUUAUAAAGACUCUGAAUUUUGUUAUCUGUCUUUUAACAGUGUUGAGUUUUGUUCCAGAAGUCAGAUAAAUUAAAAACUGAUCCUUUUUGUCUGGAGAUACAUCAGAUAAGUCUGUUUCAGUUUUGCUCUUUGUUCUCAAUGAGUCCCUUAAUUCUGGGACACAGUCUCUUCUAAGCAUGGACCUUUUGGAAUGCUUUUAAAUGAAACCUCAGAGUGUGCACUUUGCUUCCCUAACUUGUGCUAUUCAAACUCCAAACUCUUUCUCUUCUGCCCUGGUGGCCAGCAGAAAUAUCAGCUUUUUAAACCUUCUACCGCUUGCUUUCCUUUGGAAUACUGUGAAUCUUUCCAAACCAAGCACUAUUCAUGGGGCAUUCAUAGUUUUGAGGGGUGUUUAUAUCCAGAUGUAAGGCACAAUCCUCUGUAGCUCUUUGUAUUCCAGGACUUUCUUAGUUUAUAUCUGCUUUGGGACCUCUGAAUUUUGUUAUUUGAUAUAUCAUAUCAAUAAGCUAAUCUUCUGUAUUUUGAGGUGCCGUGUACUUUAUAGACUACAAGGGAAAAGGUGAUAAAAAGCUGGAUUAAUCAGUGAAUUACCAUCACUCAAAAAUUAAAUCCUCCCUAGUUUUUCCCUUAUUUUUAGGUCUCUCCCAAUUGUUUUAAAUAUUUCUCUUAACAUAUUUUAACCUAUAAUUAAUAAUUAAAUGUUAUAUCCUUUAGGAGAUAACUAGAACUGGAUCAUCCUCUUUUUUUUUUUUUUAACAUAGCUUUCUUCAAAGUUCAUGGAGCAAAUAAAUAUAGAAAAUCAAUAAGAAUAUAGAAAAUAUGAAGGACGAAAUUAGCAAGACUGACAGAGAAAUAGCAUUCAACCAACAUUUAAAGAGUACACAAGGAAAAAAAAAA